GGAGAGGUGGCUCAGUAGUAAAGAGCACUGGCUAUUCUUCCAGAGGUCCUGAGUUCAAUUCCCAGCAUCCACA
This is a non-coding RNA of Cricetulus griseus (Chinese hamster), 73 nucleotides long. The record is from Rfam. Lineage: Eukaryota; Metazoa; Chordata; Mammalia; Rodentia; Cricetidae.